This is a long non-coding RNA of Papaver somniferum (opium poppy), 1406 nucleotides long. RefSeq lists it as uncharacterized. Lineage: Eukaryota; Viridiplantae; Streptophyta; Magnoliopsida; Ranunculales; Papaveraceae. The record is from RefSeq and is a predicted model, not a curated record. The transcript has 5 exons.
UAGUGUUUUCCAAAACAGUUUUCACUUUUCAAAAACAGGGAAAACAGAAAACAAUGAGAAAACGUGUUUGGUUGCAGUUUUUCUAAAAACGUUUUUUACUCGUUUUUUGUUUUCGAAAACACCUAAAAUGAAAACAACAUUUCAUCGUUUUCAUCGUUUUCAUUUCUUCCUUCUUCUCCUUCAGAAACGAGCAGAGAAUUUCCCAGAUGAGAUGGGUUGAUUGAUUUGGUAUCAAGUUCUAGGGUUUGCAACAAUUUUUAGAUUCGAUUCAUAUUGUUGCAAAACAGACAAGGGAAAACUCGUCUUGCAAAGUACUACGUUCCUCUUGAAGAAUCUCAGAAGCACAAGGUUGAAUACGAGUAUGUAUUAUGUAGAAAAAAAGAUGGCUUCUCUAUCAAGUGAUGAUAACAUAGAUGAUAUCCGCACAUGGCCACAGUAUAUUGUGGAUUACUUUGUUCAAUUGGUUCAUGAUGAAGCCAAAAAUGGGUUACAAACCACUACAUUGGAGAAGAAGAAAUGGGGAGAAAUAGAUAAUGCUCUCUUUGCUAAGUUUGGUAAGAGAUACAACAUUCCUAAGUUGAAAGCUAAAUUCAAUCGACUGCGUAUAGAGCAUAGGGAAUUUGCAAGGUUAGUGAGUGAUACUGGUAUGGGUUGGGAUCCAGUUGCAAACACGGUCACUGCAAGUGAUGAUGCUUGGAAGCGUUACUUGAAGAAAUAUCCUGGUGCAAAACCUUCCGUAAAAAGGGGUUAGACAAUUAUUAUAUGCUUGGGGAGAUAUUUAAUAGCACAACAGCAUCUGGAAGCAUGUCUAAUGCAUCAACACGGUCUCCUCCUGACUCAGACACCGAAAGAGACUUGUAAACAGAAUUCCUUGGCAAAGGGGUACAUGUAGAACCCGCUAGCUCUGGAGACACGAGUCACCCUUCAUCACACACAAAAUCAAACAUACAUAGACGUGCUUUAGAACUUCCUAUUGAUCUUCCUCAGCGAAAGGCGACUAAAUCAUCAAGGUUUGAUGAUGCACUUGUAGCAUGGACUGAAAAUCUUAAAGUUAAAGCUGAAGUAACAAAAGCGAAGGCUGAACGUAAGAAGGAUAAGGAAGUAACAUCUCCUCUUUGUACCAUCACCGAGAUAUCAUCUAUUGAAGAUUGUAUGGAUAUAUUGGACAACAUGGAAGGAGUGGAAGAUGAUGUAUAUCUCAAAGCCAUUGACAAGUUCAGAAACCCCGACUAUAGGAGAAUUUUUAAGAAAAUGAAAGAAUCAAGGAGAAUUAUGUGGCUUAAGAGUUUGUAAUAUGUUUUUUUUCUUAGAAACUGAACUCGGUUAAGGGUUGUUGAGUAUUGUGAUUUAGAACUUGAAGUUACACUGUGACACAAUAUUUAUGUUAAUGUGAGCUUGGUUUUGUG